Molecule: transfer RNA, 57 nt
Filed under: Salmo salar (Atlantic salmon)
Lineage: Eukaryota; Metazoa; Chordata; Actinopteri; Salmoniformes; Salmonidae
Also listed under: 1 other name
Rfam family: tRNA
About the family: Transfer RNA (tRNA) molecules are approximately 80 nucleotides in length. Their secondary structure includes four short double-helical elements and three loops (D, anti-codon, and T loops). Further hydrogen bonds mediate the characteristic L-shaped molecular structure. tRNAs have two regions of fundamental functional importance: the anti-codon, which is responsible for specific mRNA codon recognition, and the 3' end, to which the tRNAs corresponding amino acid is attached (by aminoacyl-tRNA synthetases). tRNAs cope with the degeneracy of the genetic code in two manners: having more than one tRNA (with a specific anti-codon) for a particular amino acid; and 'wobble' base-pairing, i.e. permitting non-standard base-pairing at the 3rd anti-codon position.
Source: Rfam by way of RNAcentral
AGCUCAGUUGGUAGAGCAUGGCACUUGCAAUGCUAAGAAAGUGGGUUUGAUUCCCGG